RNAcentral lists this ribosomal RNA (438 nucleotides) under uncultured bacterium. RNAcentral describes it as "bacterial SSU rRNA". It matches the Rfam family "Bacterial small subunit ribosomal RNA", at positions 60 to 512 of the family's 1533-position model. The record is from RNAcentral.
AGUCGAGCGGUAAGGCUCCUUCGGGAGUACACGAGCGGCGAACGGGUGAGUAACACGUGAGCAAUCUGCCCUUCACAUCGGGAUAACUCCGGGAAACCGGUGCUAAUACCGAAUACGACCACUUCAGGCAUCUGAUGGUGGUGGAAAGUUCCGGCGGUGAAGGAUGAGCUCGCGGCCUAUCAGCUUGUUGGUGGGGUAACGGCCCACCAAGGCAACGACGGGUAGCCGGCCUGAGAGGGUGACCGGCCACACUGGGACUGAGACACGGCCCAGACUCCUACGGGAGGCAGCAGUGGGGAAUAUUGGACAAUGGGCGAAAGCCUGAUCCAGCAACGCCGCGUGAGGGAUGACGGCCUUCGGGUUGUAAACCUCUUUCAUCCACGACAAAGCGAAAGUGACGGUAGUGGGAAAAGAAGCACCGGCCCACUACGUGCCAGC